Molecule: ribosomal RNA, 484 nt
Filed under: uncultured bacterium
Lineage: Bacteria
Description: partial 16S ribosomal RNA
Rfam family: Bacterial small subunit ribosomal RNA
Source: RNAcentral
AUUGAACGCUGGCGGCAGGCCUAACACAUGCAAGUCGAGCGGAUGAAGGGAGCUUGCUCCUGGAUUCAGCGGCGGACGGGUGAGUAAUGCCUAGGAAUCUGCCUGGUAGUGGGGGAUAACGUCCGGAAACGGGGGCUAAUACCGCAUACGUCCUGAGGGAGAAAGUGGGGGAUCUUCGGACCUCACGCUAUCAGAUGAGCCUAGGUCGGAUUAGCUAGUUGGUGGGGUAAAGGCCUACCAAGGCGACGAUCCGUAACUGGUCUGAGAGGAUGAUCGGUCACACUGGAACUGAGACACGGUCCAGACUCCUACGGGAGGCAGCAGUGGGGAAUAUUGGACAAUGGGCGAAAGCCUGAUCCAGCCAUGCCGCGUGUGUGAAGAAGGUCUUCGGAUUGUAAAGCACUUUAAGUUGGGAGGAAGGGCAGUAAGUUAAUACCUUGCUGUUUUGACGUUACCAACAGAAUAAGCACCGGCUAACUUCGUG